This 301-nucleotide ribosomal RNA is filed under the name uncultured bacterium. Its description in RNAcentral is "partial 16S ribosomal RNA". It matches the Rfam family "Bacterial small subunit ribosomal RNA", at positions 509 to 807 of the family's 1533-position model. The record is from RNAcentral.
CAGUAGCCGCGGUAAAACAGAGGAUGCAAGCGUUAUCCGGAAUUAUUGGGCGUAAAGGGCUCGCAGGCGGUUUCUUAAGUCUGAUGUGAAAGCCCCCGGCUCAACCGGGGAGGGUCAUUGGAAACUGGGAAACUUGAGUGCAGAAGAGGAGAGUGGAAUUCCACGUGUAGCGGUGAAAUGCGUAGAGAUGCGGAGGAACACCAGUGGCGAAGGCGACUCUCUGGUCUGUAACUGACGCUGAGGAGCGAAAGCGUGGGGAGCGAACAGGAUUAGAUACCCCGGUAGUCCCUGUCUCUUAUAC